Molecule: non-coding RNA, 157 nt
Filed under: uncultured Anaerovibrio sp.
Lineage: Bacteria; Bacillati; Bacillota; Negativicutes; Selenomonadales; Selenomonadaceae
Source: RNAcentral
AUGAAGGUUCUUGGGUAUGGCCUAACAAGAUAAGCUGGUUAAAUGCCAGCACGGUCCCGCCACUGUGUCAGGGAGCGAUAUCACAAUAUGUCACUGGAGUAUUCUGGGAAGGCGUGAUGGAGCGAUGAUCUGGAGUCAGGAGAACUGCCUGUUUAAC